UAUAAAUAAUAAAACACUAGUAUGGGAGGAAGGUUCAGCUUCCAACAAAAUAGUUUACAUGACAUAAUUUUCAAGGGAUGUGACAUGAUUUAAUUUAAAUUAUUUUCAUGCACUAUUCUGAUACAGAUUAGUGUGUAGAGAAAAAAAAAAAGUUACUACAUUUUGCUUUACUUGGUCUUGUCCCAGGGAACAAGAUUGAAAGACUUUUUUUCACUGCAGAGUGUAAGUUAAUUACUAAACUCCAGGAGUAAAAGUAAUUCUUAAUUUAGCAUCUAGAUUCACUUGGCCCAAUUAAAUGGUCAGGUUGAAUUUCCUUCACUGAAUUCACCGCUGCCAGACUAAUGCAUUCUGGAAAAUCAAAACCCAACUGAUAAUAAAGUAAGUCCCAGUGGUCCCAAGUACACAGACCAUUGCUUUUUCUUUAAAAUUUGUCUAGAGGUCACGAUCAUAGCAACUGGUUGCAGUCUAGGUUUUUGAUGUGCGUUUAACUAUUAACUAUUUAACUAUUACAGAUUGUUUAGUAGAAAAUAAACUUAAUAGGUACUUAAAGAGUAGGAUUGCCAUCAUCAGAGGAACUCAUGGGAUUCUGGUUAGCAUACUAAUAUAAGAUUCAAGAGUAGAAUUUUUCUCAUAAAUAUAGCGAAAUACAAGCAUUUUUUGUCUCGUGGAGUACUUGUGUUUUUGCAGUAUCAUAAAUUUGAGAAAUCACAAACAACAAACAUUUUAUUUCAGGUGUCCUGAAAAUACGACAAACACAUUUGUCUACCAUAGUGCUUAAGUACUUGGCGUAUCUGCAGUAUUACAAAUCUGAGGGACUGCAGGCAAUGACCAUUUUAUUUCAGGUGUCCUGAAAAUAAGACACAUUAACCCUGUUUCAGAGUUCAUAUACUGUCAAAGCAUACAAACAGUUUGAAGACAUGGAGAGUCAAGUGUCCAUUUGUGUACACCAUUAGCCUGGAUAUUACUGGCAAUCUCAAUAUUGUAAAAGAUGUUCAUAUCGGCAUUGGAGCAAAGAAGAUAUUCAAAAUACUUCUGAAAGGGUAUGAGGCAGUAUGCUACUGAGGAGGGAAAACAGAAGGGCAAAAGUUGCUUGUAUUUCUAAAUCCAAUGAGCAGGUGGUCAAAGCUGACAUCACAGGCUUACAAAAUGAGUUUUGGUAAAGUACGUCUUUCAAGGUUUGGAGAUAAUGCUCUGUAUCCUUUAGAAGGGAAACAGAUAUUUUCUUCUGUAACAAAGAAAUGGUGGAAGGAUUAAGGAGAAGGCUAAAAGGCAAAAAAAAAAAAGUGUUGAUUAAAAUUAGAUUCAGAAGCAUUCUGAAUGAGUAUUAAUAUAUCCUUUUUCUUUCUCAAAAGGAAAACAUAUUUUCAGUAAUUUUUCUGCUUGUAAUGAAACCAUGGAUUAUAUACAUUGACUAAAGCUGUGGGUCAAGACUGUUUAAUAGUAAUUUGAACAAUUGUGCUACAAUUUUAAUGAAAAUACAGAUUUGGUACCUAAUUGCUGAUGUUUCAGAAACUUUCAAAAUCUACUUUUCCAAACUUUCAAUUAAUAUGAAAAAAUAUCUAGUUUUUGAAGGAUUUUCAUUAUCUUGAAAUUUUGAUGUCACAUAAAAUUUUCAAGACAAAUAGUUUUAUGUAAUUAAAAAAAAAAAAGGCUAUAUUUUAAGUGUUGUUCGUAAAGAAAAAAUACAGUCUGUAGGUCAUAUGCAAAGACAAGGAUAUUUGGUGAUGACAGCUGAAAUUUGGUGUACAGAAUGAUGUCCUCAGUCAUAAAAGCAGCAAGCAGCGAAAAAGACUUGGGCAAACUAGAAGCCGUUAUGAAUUUGAUUUGAUGGUAAAAUAUCUCUGUGAAGUGAUGGAACAAAGCUGCUUUUGUUUGAAUGAAAUACCUGUAAAAGGGUGAAUUUAAAUUUUACCAGAUGCAGGUAGGUUUUUGAUGGUUGUUGUUUAAAAAGAGUAGAGAAAAGGACCUCUAUGCAGUUUCUGCAGGAAAUUGCAAAGCAGAUGACUGGUACCCCUCAGUUGUUGAUUAGGGGAGGAAAAGAGCAGGAAAAAAAAAAUUAUGAGAUCAAAAAAAUGUGUUUGGAUCAGAAAUGGUAGACACAGCACGGAAUAUGUGGAGAAGUUCUUUAGGAAAUCUAGCUGAAAAGUCGUUAGUUAUCCAUUGGGAGUGUUCUAAUACGUUCUGUGUAUUUGCACACCAAUAAAUGUCUAGAGUAUAAACGGAAGAAGAAAGAUAAUUAGCACAUAAAAUAAACUUAGAAAUGGAAGUAGAGUGGGCUACAUUUAAGUAUGUGUGAGCGUAGCUUUUACUUAAAAACACAAAACUAGAGAACUACAUAAAUAAAAAUAAGUGUUUUGGAAAAA
Molecule: long non-coding RNA, 2363 nt
Organism: Oxyura jamaicensis (ruddy duck)
Lineage: Eukaryota; Metazoa; Chordata; Aves; Anseriformes; Anatidae
Exons: 2
Source: RefSeq, a predicted model, not a curated record